Molecule: ribosomal RNA, 448 nt
Filed under: uncultured bacterium
Lineage: Bacteria
Description: bacterial SSU rRNA
Rfam family: Bacterial small subunit ribosomal RNA
Source: RNAcentral
ACUCCUACGGGAGGCAGCAGUGGGGAAUCUUGCGCAAUGGGCGAAAGCCUGACGCAGCAACGCCGCGUGGGGGAUGAAGGCUCUCGGGUUGUAAACCCCUUUCAGCAGGGACGAAUUUUGACGGUACCUGCAGAAGAAGCCCCGGCUAACUACGUGCCAGCAGCCGCGGUAACACGUAGGGGCAAGCGUUGUCCGGAUUUAUUGGGCGUAAAGAGCUCGUAGGUGGCUGAGUAAGUCGGAUGUUAAAUCCCCAGGCUCAACCUGGGACACCACCCGAUACUGCUCUGGCUAGAGUCCGGUAGGGGAGCGUGGAAUUCCUGGUGUAGCGGUGAAAUGCGCAGAUAUCAGGAGGAACACCAGCGGCGAAGGCGGCGCUCUGGGCCGGCACUGACACUGAGGAGCGAAAGCAUGGGUAGCAAACAGGAUUAGAUACCCUGGUAGCUACGAG